CCUACGGGGGGCUGCAGUGAGGAAUAUUGGUCAAUGGACGAGAGUCUGAACCAGCCAAGUAGCGUGAAGGAUGACUGCCCUAUGGGUUGUAAACUUCUUUUAUAAAGGAAUAAAACGAGGCACGUGUGCCUUUUUGCAUGUACUUUAUGAAUAAGGAUCGGCUAACUCCGUGCCAGCAGCCGCGGUAAUACGGAGGAUCCGAGCGUUAUCCGGAUUUAUUGGGUGUAAAGGGAGCGUAGAUGGGUUGUUAAGUCAGUUGUGAAAGUUUGCGGCUCAACCGUAAAAUUGCAAUUGAUACUGGCAGUCUAGAGUACAGUUGAGGUAGGCGGAAUUCGUGGUGUAGCGGUGAAAUGCUUAGAUAUCACGAAGAACCCCGAUUGCGAAGGCAGCUUACUAAGCUGUGACUGACAUUGAUGCUCGAAAGUGUGGGUAUCAAACAGGAUUAGAUACCCGAGUAGUC
RNAcentral lists this ribosomal RNA (460 nucleotides) under uncultured bacterium. Its description in RNAcentral is "partial 16S ribosomal RNA". It matches the Rfam family "Bacterial small subunit ribosomal RNA", at positions 338 to 795 of the family's 1533-position model. The record is from RNAcentral.